RNAcentral lists this transfer RNA (73 nucleotides) under Marmota monax (woodchuck). Its description in RNAcentral is "tRNA.Ala". The stretch from base 8 to 68 matches the Rfam family "tRNA", at positions 6 to 65 of the family's 71-position model. Rfam says of the family: Transfer RNA (tRNA) molecules are approximately 80 nucleotides in length. Their secondary structure includes four short double-helical elements and three loops (D, anti-codon, and T loops). Lineage: Eukaryota; Metazoa; Chordata; Mammalia; Rodentia; Sciuridae. The record is from RNAcentral.
CUGUGGAUGUAGCUCAGUGGUAGAGUGCUUGCCUAGCAUAUGUGAGACCCUGGGUUCAAUCCCCAGCAAUAGA